RNAcentral lists this transfer RNA (111 nucleotides) under Candidatus Aenigmatarchaeota archaeon. Its description in RNAcentral is "tRNA-Thr". It matches the Rfam family "tRNA". Rfam says of the family: Transfer RNA (tRNA) molecules are approximately 80 nucleotides in length. Their secondary structure includes four short double-helical elements and three loops (D, anti-codon, and T loops). The record is from RNAcentral. Lineage: Archaea; Nanobdellati; Candidatus Aenigmatarchaeota.
GCCUCCUUAGCUCAGUUGGUAGAGCAUUCGUUUCGUAAACGAAAGGUCGAGAGUUCGAAAGGGACGAAGCUGACCGAUGUCAGCUUCCAGCCGAUUUUCUCUCAGGGGGCU